AGAGGGUGCAGGCGUUGUCCGGAAUCACUGGGCGUAAAGGGCGCGUAGGCGGCCUGAUAAGUAGGGGGUGAAAUCCUGGGGCUUAACCUCAGGGCUGCCCUCUAGACUGUCCGGCUCGAGCACAGUAGAGGCAGGUGGAAUUCCCGGUGUAGCGGUGGAAUGCGUAGAGAUCGGGAAGAACAUCGGUGGCGAAGGCGGCCUGCUGGGCUGUUGCUGACGCUGAGGCGCGACAGCGUGGGGAGCAAACAGGAUUAGAUACCCUGGUAGUCCACGCCGUAAACGAUGGGUACUAGGCGUCGGGGGGAGCGACCCCCUCGGUGCCGUCGCUAACGCAGUAAGUACCCCGCCUGGGGAGUACGGCCGCAAGGCUG
RNAcentral lists this ribosomal RNA (371 nucleotides) under uncultured bacterium. Its description in RNAcentral is "bacterial SSU rRNA". It matches the Rfam family "Bacterial small subunit ribosomal RNA", at positions 527 to 896 of the family's 1533-position model. The record is from RNAcentral.